CGCCGAUUCGGCGGCGGUGUACGACACGGCUUGAGUCGCCGUGAGGUCGUUCGGCCCCACAUCGGUGUC
This 69-nucleotide transfer RNA is filed under the name Subtercola lobariae. RNAcentral describes it as "tRNA-Leu". The record is from RNAcentral. Lineage: Bacteria; Bacillati; Actinomycetota; Actinomycetes; Micrococcales; Microbacteriaceae.